This 488-nucleotide ribosomal RNA is filed under the name uncultured bacterium. Its description in RNAcentral is "partial 16S ribosomal RNA". It matches the Rfam family "Bacterial small subunit ribosomal RNA", at positions 28 to 507 of the family's 1533-position model. The record is from RNAcentral.
GACGAACGCUGGCGGCGUGCUUAACACAUGCAAGUCGAACGGAAAGGCCCUGCUUUUGUGGGGUGCUCGAGUGGCGAACGGGUGAGUAACACGUGAGUAACCUGCCCUUGACUUUGGGAUAACUUCAGGAAACUGGGGCUAAUACCGGAUAGGAGCUCCUGCUGCAUGGUGGGGGUUGGAAAGUUUCGGCGGUUGGGGAUGGACUCGCGGCUUAUCAGCUUGUUGGUGAGGUAGUGGCUUACCAAGGCUUUGACGGGUAGCCGGCCUGAGAGGGGGACCGGCCACACGAGAACGGGGACACGCACCAGACUCCUACGGUAGGCAGCAGGAGGCAAUCUGCCGCAAGGGGCGAAAGCCGGACGGAGCGACGGCGCGUGAGUGAAGAAGGUCGGCGGAUCGUAAAACGCGGGUAUGAGUGAAGAACAAACGUGUAAGUAACUAGGCACGUCUUGACGGUACCGAAUCAGAAAGCCACGGCUAACUACGUG